AUGAACAGAGCAGUUUGUUAAACUUAGGUGACUGCUGUGAAAGGAAUGGCCAUCCUUCAAAGGUGUCUCUUUCAUGUCAUUCCUCAUGUCUGCCAUUCACAGUAUAAAAGACGGGAAGAACUCACAGCUUGAGGCGAAGUUGCUCAUCUGAGAUGCAAGAAGACUCGGCACUGAGACAAGUUCACAACUGAGACAACUGAGCUGAGAGAAAUUAAAAUACAGGAGUGUUGCAUUACAGAGAUCAAAAAUGCUUCUGACCAUUCUGAUACAGAUCCUGACCAUCGCAGCAUCAGCAAAUGCCCAGACAAAUUCCACUGUAAAUUCAACCGCUCCCACCUUUGCCACUGCCACGACUGCAACAAACAUGACGAGCACAAUCAGCACCGCUACUGCGAACAACACUGCAACAACAGCAAACAGCACUUCAAGCAAC
Molecule: long non-coding RNA, 433 nt
Organism: Pelmatolapia mariae (spotted tilapia)
Lineage: Eukaryota; Metazoa; Chordata; Actinopteri; Cichliformes; Cichlidae
Exons: 3
Source: RefSeq, a predicted model, not a curated record